This 91-nucleotide transfer RNA is filed under the name Alphaproteobacteria bacterium. RNAcentral's name for it is "tRNA-Ser". It matches the Rfam family "tRNA". Rfam says of the family: Transfer RNA (tRNA) molecules are approximately 80 nucleotides in length. Their secondary structure includes four short double-helical elements and three loops (D, anti-codon, and T loops). Further hydrogen bonds mediate the characteristic L-shaped molecular structure. tRNAs have two regions of fundamental functional importance: the anti-codon, which is responsible for specific mRNA codon recognition, and the 3' end, to which the tRNAs corresponding amino acid is attached (by aminoacyl-tRNA synthetases). tRNAs cope with the degeneracy of the genetic code in two manners: having more than one tRNA (with a specific anti-codon) for a particular amino acid; and 'wobble' base-pairing, i.e. permitting non-standard base-pairing at the 3rd anti-codon position. The record is from RNAcentral. Lineage: Bacteria; Pseudomonadati; Pseudomonadota; Alphaproteobacteria. RNAcentral also lists the same sequence under 1 other name.
GGAGAGGUGCCGGAGUGGUCGAACGGGGCGGUCUCGAAAACCGUUGUACCCCUCGCGGGUACCGUGGGUUCGAAUCCCACCCUCUCCGCCA